Molecule: ribosomal RNA, 487 nt
Filed under: uncultured bacterium
Lineage: Bacteria
Description: bacterial SSU rRNA
Rfam family: Bacterial small subunit ribosomal RNA
Source: RNAcentral
AUUGAACGCUGGCGGCAUGCCUAACACAUGCAAGUCGAACGGUAACAGGUCUAGCUUGCUAGAUGCUGACGAGUGGCGGACGGGUGAGUAACGCGUGGGAAUCUGCCUUCUAGUGGGGAUAGCCCGGAGAAAUCCGGAUUAAUACCGCAUACGCCCUACGGGGGAAAGCCGGGGAUCUUCGGACCUGGCGCUAGUAGAUGAGCCCGCGUGAGAUUAGCUUGUUGGUGGGGUAAUGGCCUACCAAGGCAACGAUCUCUAGCUGGUCUGAGAGGACGAUCAGCCACACUGGGACUGAGACACGGCCCAGACUCCUACGGGAGGCAGCAGUGGGGAAUAUUGGACAAUGGGCGAAAGCCUGAUCCAGCAAUGCCGCGUGUGUGAAGAAGGCCUGAGGGUUGUAAAGCACUUUCAAUCGUGAAGAAAAGUUGCAGGCUAAUACCCUGUGACCUUGACGUUAACGAUACAAGAAGCACCGGCUAACUCCGUG